This 97-nucleotide microRNA precursor is filed under the name Nicotiana sylvestris (wood tobacco). RNAcentral describes it as "MIR6152 microRNA precursor family". It matches the Rfam family "MIR6152 microRNA precursor family". Lineage: Eukaryota; Viridiplantae; Streptophyta; Magnoliopsida; Solanales; Solanaceae. RNAcentral also lists the same sequence under 1 other name. The record is from Rfam by way of RNAcentral.
UGGACAGAUUAUUGUAUUCGACUGUAUUCACGGCGUGAAAUAGGGGAUUACACUGUUUUUAAAAUGGAAAGUGAAUCAAUUAACAUAAUAGACUCUU